Molecule: ribosomal RNA, 275 nt
Filed under: uncultured bacterium
Lineage: Bacteria
Description: partial 16S ribosomal RNA
Rfam family: Bacterial small subunit ribosomal RNA
Source: RNAcentral
CAUGACCUACGGGACGCAGCAGUGGGGAAUAUUGCACAAUGGGGGAAACCCUGAUGCAGCGACGCCGCGUGAGUGAAGAAGAAUUUCGGUACGUAAAGCUCUAUCAGCAGGGAAGAAAAAAAGUCCUUUGGACUUUGGACGGUACCUGACCAAGAAGCCCCGGCUAACUACGUGCCAGCAGCCGCGGUAAUACGUAGGGGGCAAGCGUUAUCCGGAUUUACUGGGUGUAAAGGGAGCGUAGACGGCAGCGCAAGUCUGGAGAGAAAUGCCGGGGC